Molecule: ribosomal RNA, 470 nt
Filed under: uncultured bacterium
Lineage: Bacteria
Description: bacterial SSU rRNA
Rfam family: Bacterial small subunit ribosomal RNA
Source: RNAcentral
AAUCAACGCUGGCGGCGUGCCUCAGACAUGCAAGUCGAACGAUUAAAGCUCUCUUCGGAGAGUGCAUAGAGUGGCGCACGGGUGAGUAACACGUAAGUAAUCUACCUUCGAGUGGGGAAUAACGUCCGGAAACGGACGCUAAUACCGCAUAAUGCAGCGGCAUCGCAAGAUGACAGUUGUUAAAGAUUUAUCGCUUGAAGAGGAGCUUGCGGCAGAUUAGCUAGUUGGUAAGGUAAUGGCUUACCAAGGCUACGAUCUGUAACCGGUCUAAGAGGACGGUCGGUCACACUGACACUGAAUAACGGGUCAGACUCCUACGGGAGGCAGCAGUCGGGAAUUUUGGGCAAUGGGCGAAAGCCUGACCCAGCAACGCCGCGUGAAGGAUGAAGUAUUUCGGUAUGUAAACUUCGAAAGAAUGGGAAGAAUAAAUGACGGUACCAUUUAUAAGGUCCGGCUAACUACGUGCCAGC